GACAGAGGCCUCAAGCGUUAGGCGGAAUCACUGGGCUUAAAGCGUGUGUAGGCGGAUCGUUAAGUGUCUUGUGAAAUCCCACGGCUCACCCGUGGAACUGCUGGGCAUACUGGCGAUCUUGGGCCAACUAGGGGCAACUGGAACAAGCGGUGGAGCGGUGAAAUGCGUAGAUAUCGCUUGGAACGCCGAAGGUGAAAACAGGUUGCUGGGGUUGUGCCGACGCUGAGACACGAAAGCCAGGGGAGCAAACGGGG
This 254-nucleotide ribosomal RNA is filed under the name uncultured bacterium. RNAcentral describes it as "partial 16S ribosomal RNA". It matches the Rfam family "Bacterial small subunit ribosomal RNA", at positions 524 to 777 of the family's 1533-position model. The record is from RNAcentral.